RNAcentral lists this ribosomal RNA (496 nucleotides) under uncultured bacterium. Its description in RNAcentral is "partial 16S ribosomal RNA". It matches the Rfam family "Bacterial small subunit ribosomal RNA", at positions 899 to 1397 of the family's 1533-position model. The record is from RNAcentral.
ACUCAAAUGAAUUGACGGGGCCCCGCACAAGCGGCGGAGCAUGUUGCUUAAUUCGAUGCAACGCGAAGAACCUUACCUGGGCUUGACAUGCAGGGUGAAACCCGUGAAAGCGGGCGCUCUUCGGAGCCUGCACAGGUGGUGCAUGGCUGUCGUCAGCUCGUGCCGUGAGGUGUUGCCUUAAGUGGCGCAACGAGCGCAACCCCUGUCCUUAGUUGCCAGCGGAUCAUGCCGGGAACUCUAGGGAGACUGCCGGUGCCAAACCGGAGGAAGGUGGGGAUGACGUCAAGUCAUCAUGCCCCUUACGUCCAGGGCUGCAAACAUGCUACAAUGCUCGGUACAAAGGGCUGCGAUCCCGCAAGGGGGAGCGAAUCCCAAAAAGCCGGGCUCAGUUCGGAUCGGGGUCUGCAACCCGACCCCGUGAAGUUGGAGUCGCUAGUAAUCGCAGAUCAGCACUGCUGCGGUGAAUACGUUCCCGGGGCUUGUACACACCGCCCGU